This 499-nucleotide long non-coding RNA is filed under the name Gallus gallus (chicken). Lineage: Eukaryota; Metazoa; Chordata; Aves; Galliformes; Phasianidae. The record is from RNAcentral.
UGGGCAAGUCACCAGCUACCUUCUGCCUCUCGUUUUGAUCAACUUUGAGUUUUGACAGUGUUUCACUUAACUUCAUUUUCAGCUCUCUGACUUCUGAAACAUAAGUAGAUCGCUCUAUUUCUGCCUUUUCUAGUUCACUUUCCAAAUGUUCUCUCUCUUUUUUAAGAGUUUCAACCUCUUUGAUCUCUUCUUUUAACCUCUCUACCUCGUGCUCCAAAGAGGCGACCGAUGAGCGCAUCUGUUUGAGUUCCUUCUGUGAUUCUUCAACUUUUAUCUUCCAUUUGCUUUCUUCCUCUUCCACGCUCCUCUGUAGCCUCUGUAAAAUCCCCUCCGUCUCCGCCAGAACUGAUUUGUAUUUCUCACAUUCCAGUUGCAACAGUAUGUGCAGCUCCUCAGCCUCCUUCAACUUCUGCUCCAUAACCUUGAUAUCUUCAGAUCCUGAAGCCCCUCUCAAAUACUCUUUAGCCAUCUUUUCAAAUCCACAUAUCCAUUCGCUAUG